GCUUUUUUAAUCUUGCAAUGAAUUCACUGUUAUUGAUCAUCUCUAACAUGUCCACGACUCUGAUAUAAAUUUAUGUCACAUCUCUCCACCAUGUAUUAUAUGGAAAAUAUCUCAUAUUCUACAUUCAUGGCAUUAAAAGGGU
Sphaeramia orbicularis (orbiculate cardinalfish) is the source of this 142-nucleotide long non-coding RNA. RefSeq lists it as uncharacterized. Lineage: Eukaryota; Metazoa; Chordata; Actinopteri; Kurtiformes; Apogonidae. The record is from RefSeq and is a predicted model, not a curated record. The transcript is spliced from 4 exons.